Megalobrama amblycephala (Wuchang bream) is the source of this 406-nucleotide long non-coding RNA. RefSeq lists it as uncharacterized. The record is from RefSeq and is a predicted model, not a curated record. The transcript is spliced from 3 exons. Lineage: Eukaryota; Metazoa; Chordata; Actinopteri; Cypriniformes; Xenocyprididae.
UUCAACAGGGUGGUUCAGAGAUAUGCUCCGCAAGAGCUGUGGAAUGCUGGUGAAGAAACUUCAUGGUCACCAACCCCCAGAGCCGCGCAACACCAAAGAAUGAAAGCAUGACGCCUCACUGAACAAGAUGAGUGACAGGUCCUGUCAGAGUCUGAGCAGCUGACGUCUGAAAGACAGUUGAGAUUUGAGUUCAACUGCUCCACUGUCAACCAACCAGAACCUACAUAACAAACUUAAAAACUUGUGUUUUAAAUGUUUUAAUUUUUUUAUCAGUAUAUAAGAUAUUCAAACAAUCAGACUUCUAAUGUAGAUCAAACUACAUACAUGAUCAAAUCAGUCAGCUUAAUGCUUUAAUAACUCUCUCAACAUCGACCAUGUCCUGCUGUGUUGCCGUACUGUAAGGACC